AGAGUACAGCUCGGUGGUAGAGCGUGUGCUUAGUAUGCACAAGGUCCUGGGUUCAAUUCCUAGUAUCUCUA
RNAcentral lists this transfer RNA (71 nucleotides) under Camelus ferus (Wild Bactrian camel). It matches the Rfam family "tRNA". Rfam says of the family: Transfer RNA (tRNA) molecules are approximately 80 nucleotides in length. Lineage: Eukaryota; Metazoa; Chordata; Mammalia; Artiodactyla; Camelidae. The record is from Rfam by way of RNAcentral.